Molecule: long non-coding RNA, 2195 nt
Organism: Carassius auratus (goldfish)
Lineage: Eukaryota; Metazoa; Chordata; Actinopteri; Cypriniformes; Cyprinidae
Exons: 7
Source: RefSeq, a predicted model, not a curated record
UAGAUUUUUAUUUGUGCAGGGAUGAAGAUGACUAUUCUGAUGACGAUGAGGAGGAAGAGGACGACGAAGACGAUGAUGAAGAACCUCUACCUGUUCACCUCCCAUCCCCUCAGUCCCAGCCAGAUCUCGAGCCUCGUAGCCGCAGAUGCCUGGUGGGGGAUCUGAGCGUCAGCGUCAUCCCUGAAGGAAACAACAGCAGCGAGGAGGAGGAAGACGAGGAAGAUCAACGGCCGGAGGAGAGCGACUCGGAUGGGCCUGUGCUAUACAAGGAUGACGAAUCAGAUGAGGAUGAUGACGACGACAGCCCACCAAGUGCUCUGGCCAGCAGGGUGAAGAGGAAGGACACAUUGGCGCUGAAGUUGAGCAGUCGGCCCUCUGCCCCAGACAGGCAGGCUCCUGAGAGGCAGGCCAAAGUAGAACACAUGGGUCUGUCGUGGCAGAGCAAGGAGCAGUGGGAGGCCAUCCGCACACAGAUUGGUACCCGCACUUACACGGCGAUUGAGCCAGAGACCUUCUGCUGAGGAGUUGAAACAGAGAAACAUUCUCCAGCCCAAAAAUGAAGCAGACAGACAAGCGGAGGUCCGGGAGAUCAAGCGCAGACUCACCAGAAAGUUGAGUGAACGACCGACUGUUGCCGAACUACAGGCUCGAAAAAUAUUACGUUUCCACGAGUACGUGGAGGUCACAUGCGCUCAGGACUAUGACCGCCGUGCUGACAAGCCAUGGACCAAACUCACUCCCGCAGACAAGGCUGCUAUUCGGAAAGAGCUCAACGAGUUUAAAAGCUCCGAAAUGGAAGUGCAUGAGGAAAGCAGAAUUUACACGAGAUUCCAUCGUCCUUAAUUGCAUCUUUUAACUGGAAAAUGAAGCACUUGAAGGCUGGUGGAUACUGGGAAGAAAUGGCUGUUUUUUUCGGGGGAGGGAGCCUCAGAGUUUCAGAGCUCCCUUCAGACUGCUUUUACUCUGAAUGUACUUCUUCAGAUGCACAGGGACGCCUGGAGCAUUUAGAAACAAAUCAGAAUAAACAAAACAGACCGUUUCUCAGUUGUCCAUCCACCAUUAUGUGGGACGGGUGACCUCUGGGGGACAGAUGCAGUAUUUCUCCUGGACUUUAGGGGACCCAUGUGCCAAGACAGAGAGGCGAUGAAGGACUUAUUAGAGGAUGUCACUUGUGCCAAUGGCAGAUAUUCCUCUCUCUACUCUCUGAAAGUUACAAAUAAUAGUAAUAAUAAUGAUGUGACUAAUAAAUAUAGUAAUACUACAGUAAGUGUUAGUUACUGCGCGUAGCGGGGCAGACAGAAGUACUGCGAGAAGGCCUGAGCCUGAAUGUUAUUGUGUAUUUGUGUAUGUUUGUAUAGGCUGCUGUAAUUUUUCUCUUAGUUUGACUCUUUGGAACGUUCUAAAUAUUAGAAACUUUAAGGCACAAGUUUUUUCUUUUUUCUUUCUAUUAUUCAUAACUUUGGCUUUGACCCUCUUUAUUCAAGACAGGGUUACUGAUUCCACCUUACUUUGUGAUCCUCACUGUUUGAGAGGUCAUAGAGAAGAAUAGAAGAUAGGAUCCGUUUUUUAGAUAGAAUGUAAGCGUUUCAUGUUUCACUAUUGGUUUGCAGAAAAAAACUGUGAUCUAUUAUCUUUUACUAUUUUGUUUUUAAUCAUGUCGCCAUCCAUAAAAAUGAGGUCCAGCUAUUUCAGUUUUAAGAAGUGUCCAAAUCAUGUUUACAAAAUCUUUUAUUUCUUAAUAAAAAGGAUUUCCUGAUUAUUUAUUGCCCAUUUAAAAGAAUGAAUUUAGUCCAGACACGCACUGAUACAGGUUUAAAAAUGAAGUUUUUGAUAAGUGUUGUUGACACUGAGGUUAUUGCGGCAGGAAUUCUUCAUUUUUUCAAAUUAUUUUGUCUUUUUUUUUUUUUUGGCCAGUAGGAUAAUAUGAAUUGCUCUGCUGUACAGAUCCAUUCUGUAGAUGAAGCUGACUGUUUCUGUAUAUCUUGUCUUCCUUUUAUUUUGGAGAAUAUUUUAAAUAUAUUGAAACUCAUAUAGGUUACUAUUUUUUUAAGCACAAAAUUAUUAGUGUAUUAUUCAACACUACAAUGUAAUGUAGCGUUGUAUAUUCUUGCUUUUUAAUUAUAUGUGAACUUAGAAACUGACAGUAAAUUUGCUGUUUUGAUGUAAACACUUCUAAAUCUAAAUUAAAAUGCUUA